CUGGCUGGGUGUGGAUUUACAGGUUACUUAGGCAAGUCUAAAAUUUCCAUUUAAAUGAAACUCUUUGGUCACAUCAUGCACUGGCAAAAUGUAUUUCUUUAUAACCCUUCAGAUGUGUGUUUUAUGGAUUAAUCUUCAGUUAUCACAUUGUUCAGUAAAACCCUCUAUUAAAUAAGGCAUCAAAGUCUUUGGUUUUGUGGGGGUUUCUCUCUUUUUUUUCCCGAUACAUGUUUUAAUGGGAUUGGAUUUAAUCAUAAAAAGAACUAAUUGUUUUUAUCUCUGUCAUUUCCCAUAAAACACACGAGACUGAAAUAGAAGAGAUAAAUUUGAACAAAGGGUUCAUAAAAUUGCAGUAGAGAUUUGUUGCUCUUAAUAGAAAAUGAAUGAGAACUAAUCCCACAUGAUAGCCAAGAAUGUGUGUUUUUCUUUUAUUUUUGAAGUGUUUUAUGACAACUGAAGCAACAUAGUUUUUUGUUUUUUAUUUUUAUUCUUAAUCAUUUGCAACCCUGAAAGAAAGUCAGUCAUAAACACAGAGGGUGGGUUAGAUUAGACUGGCUGUCAUCAAUAUGGCUUUAGCCAUGAUCAUCACCCUGUCCCUAACACUAGCUCAUAACGUAGCCAAGGAGUGGCUCUCCUUGCUUGAAAGAAAGUGUAAUAAUAUCUGUCAUCAUUCAUUCCUAUUUGACCUAUCAUUUGUAUCGUCCAGCCUUACAUUGUUUUAUGUGAUGCUGCAGAGCGUGACCUCUGUUAGAGACGGGGAAGUAAGAUUUACUCGAAGGUUCGGUGGAUGAAUGGUGUGUCAUUUAGUUAAAGAUUAAAGCGUGGGGGAGUAAGCCAACAGCCAGGCAACAGAGGCGUCUACCAUUGGGUGGCACCGGUCCUCCCACCAAAUAUCAUUAACUUUUAAUAAUUUUAUCAAGUAUUUUACUGUUUAAUGCUGCACAUGUGUCUGAAAAUUGUGUUUUCUACUCCAGUUUUCUACACUUCCUUGAAAUUAAGACAGGGCAGAGAGGUCAUACGGCCUCAUUCUUGUUAUGUUUUUGUCUUUAGUCCCUGUUUACUGCUGUUGAGUCACAAAAUUGCCCUUUUGUCUGCAGCAUCUUGCAUUCAAAGCAAAUCCACAAUUUUGAGUCAGCCAUGACACAGCAGCAUCAAAGGUCAUCUCCAGACACCAGCACCUUUGUCAUUAUUAAACUUUGGUUGGGAAUUACAGUACAGGUA
Molecule: long non-coding RNA, 1221 nt
Organism: Astatotilapia calliptera (eastern happy)
Lineage: Eukaryota; Metazoa; Chordata; Actinopteri; Cichliformes; Cichlidae
Source: Ensembl